RNAcentral lists this ribosomal RNA (296 nucleotides) under uncultured bacterium. Its description in RNAcentral is "partial 16S ribosomal RNA". It matches the Rfam family "Bacterial small subunit ribosomal RNA", at positions 775 to 1067 of the family's 1533-position model. The record is from RNAcentral.
GGAUUAGAUACCCUGGUAGUCCACGCCGUAAACGAUGGGUACUAGACUUUAUGGGAAUUGACCCCUGUAGAGUCGGAGCUAACGCGAUAAGUACCCCGCCUGGGAAGUACGGUCGCAAGACUAAAACUCAAAGGAAUUGACGGGGGCCCGCACAAGCGGUGGAUCAUGUGGUUUAAUUCGACGCAACGCGCGGAACCUUACCUGGGUUUGACAUCUCCGGCUAUUCGUAGAAAUACGAAGUUAGUAGCAAUACUACCGGAAGACAGGUGCUGCAUGGCUGUCGUCAGCUCGUGCCG